Molecule: RNA transcript, 1737 nt
Organism: Panicum virgatum (switchgrass)
Lineage: Eukaryota; Viridiplantae; Streptophyta; Magnoliopsida; Poales; Poaceae
Gene name: protein WVD2-like 1
Exons: 7
Source: RefSeq, a predicted model, not a curated record
AACGCACGCACACACGGGCAGAGGCGCGGCGGUGGUGGGGUGCGGGCGGGAGGAAGCGGAGCGGGGCGAGGCGCGGGCGUCGGCGGCCGCCUCCGCGGACUGCGAGGUCGGCGGGAGGUGCGCGUCGGGGAGCUGACGUUCCCGGCGGCGGUGGGGGCACCGAGCGACCGGGCACCACGGCGGCCGCGGCGGAGGCCAGCGGCGGGGGCGGGGACCCCGGGGCGGCGGCGAGGCGGCGCUGGGAUCUGCCCGGCAAGGCGGCCGGGAGCAUUGCAAUGGAGAAAGAAGAUGUAGAUAUGUCUACAGAUGAAGAAUCAGAUUGUGUAGUUAUAUGCCCACCUAACAGAAAUGCUGAUCACGAGCAAGUUGUGAGUGGCAGCCAUGACGAAGAUUCUCCAGAAAGGCAUGAGACCCCUCAUGCCAUAGACUCGCAUAUGGACAGCAAUGGCCAGGAAGACAUGCCUGUAAACCAAGACUCACCAAAGCUGAUUGAUGAGCAGGAGUCGUCUCUCACCAAUUCACCAGCACAGCCUGCUAUAGCUGGACAGCCAGGGUCUAGGCAUAGUGUUCCUGAGCCAUGCACUGUUGCAGCUGAAAGGAGGUCUUCUACAGCUGGAAAUUGUGCUCCAAUUUCUCAUCCCACCAGCAGUGGUGAAAAAUUUUCUGAUAAAAGUAGCUCCUCACCAAGAAGCAUGGCAAAGAAGAGUCCGUUAGUCACACCCAGGAAGCCUGUCCAAUCUGACAAUACUUCUCACAGUCUAGAAGAUGACUCAUAUUCCGUCACUUCUUCAACUGUAACUUCAGCAAGAGCUGGAAAAACUAAGAAGACAACAGUUGCUGUUGCACCUACAUUUGUCUGCGAUAAUCGUGCUGAGAAGAGAGGAGAGUUCUAUACAAAAUUAGAAGAAAAGCGGAAGGCUUUGGAAGAGGAGAGACUCCAAGCAGAGGCCAGGAAAAAGGAAGAGGAAGAAGAAGCUCUAAGACAACUAAGGAAGAACUUGGUUGUCCGAGCAAAACCCAUGCCGAGCUUCUACCAAGAGGGACCCCCGCCAAAGGUUGAACUUAAGAAGGUGCCUCCAACUCGUGCUAGGUCACCAAAAUUGACACGGAGAAAGAGCUGCAGUGACUCCCCUCAAACACCCGAGGGAGGAAAUGGCAGUGCAGUAUGCUGUCGGUUGCAUCGUCACAGCAUUGGGAACUCCAAAGAUGUUAGCAGCAAGGCACAAUGUUCUCCGAAGAGCUCUCCAAAGACUGGGUCUGCUACGAAAUCCAGGACCACCAAAUCCAGGGAAGACCUGAAGGGUACAAUUAAGAAAGUUGGAAAGCCAAGCGCCGCAAAUGUUGCUGUACAAACCUAACUGAUGAGUCAUUCUCACUCCCAUGCCAUUUUUCAUUUUAAUUUAUACCUCACAUCACCAAAAGGAUGGCCUCAUGCCCCGACAGCAGUGUGUUUGUUGCUGGAUUAUUUUUUGCAUUGCCCUUGUAAGAACCAUGCUACAAGAGACCAUGUGCUGUUCUGUGUUGUACAUUUAUUGAGGGUUUUGUAUGUGGUAACCGAGUCGGUUCUGCAAGAACCAAGCUGGCAGCUGAUGAGCUGUUGGAGUGAGUAACAUUGUUGUUGUAUGGCGGCAUUUGCAGAUCCUAUGUAUUGUAUGAGCUGUAACUUAUUAUGGGUGUUUGUUGCAAAAUCUGAUCAGGUCAUCGUUCAUGUAUCCUUAUGGAUUGAAAUUGUGCUGA